RNAcentral lists this ribosomal RNA (200 nucleotides) under uncultured bacterium. RNAcentral describes it as "partial 16S ribosomal RNA". It matches the Rfam family "Bacterial small subunit ribosomal RNA", at positions 328 to 539 of the family's 1533-position model. The record is from RNAcentral.
ACGCUCGACACCUACGGGGAGGCAGCAGGUGGGGGAUAUUGCACAAUGGGGGAAACCCUGAUGCAGCAACGCCGCGUGAAGGAAGAAGGUCUUCGGAUUGUAAACUUCUGUCCUCAGGGAAGAUAAUGACGGUACCUGAGGAGGAAGCUCCGGCUAACUACGUGCCAGAGCCGCGGUAAUCUGAGGCGGGCUGGCAAGGC